AUUUUUGUGUGGCUCAUAAGCAAGAUGAUUGGGUUUUCACACCCAAGUGUGAGAUGUACCUCCUUCAAACCUUGUUACAACAUCAGCACUUACCCAUUUGAUG
Otolemur garnettii (small-eared galago) is the source of this 103-nucleotide small nucleolar RNA. Lineage: Eukaryota; Metazoa; Chordata; Mammalia; Primates; Galagidae. The record is from Ensembl.